Molecule: long non-coding RNA, 2269 nt
Filed under: Gallus gallus (chicken)
Lineage: Eukaryota; Metazoa; Chordata; Aves; Galliformes; Phasianidae
Source: RNAcentral
GUCAGGGUCUAAAAAGAUGUGUUUUAAGUUGCUUUGAUUUGUUUUAUAGCUAAUUAUUUGAUUAAAGAACACAUUCCACUAAUUGUUGCAUGUUUUUUUAGAAUGAUGUUGGUUUAUUUUCAUAUCCACAACAGAGUAUGUCACUGCAUUCUCUAUCCUUUUAACAGAAUAUGGAAAUAGAACAUCUGCCAUGCAUAACCACACCAAUUUUCUCUCUUUGGAAAAGAAUCCACAGACUUGUUCCUGAACAUGUUUUGCUGAAUCAGCUCCACUUAGAAGACUGUCAUGGAUGUGCUGUGGAAGAGGAUUUAAGUCCUUGGGAGGGUGUCAGUCCUUUCCCUCUUUCAGUGGUGAGACCUAACAUGUAUGUACCGCAGUGUGUACCGCUCAUCUAAGAGAAAGCCUGUCCGCUGCUCCUCCCUUCUGAGCCAACCGCUGGGGAAGGUCAUCAGAGGAAGGCGAUGGGCAUCUUUCAUUUCACGCUGAUGUGGAAACAGGACAGGCCUUUGCACCUGCCCCCUCACUACAACACAGAUAUAGAGACCCUGGACAUUUCCAGAGAAGGGUAAGGAAGCUAGUUAAAAUGUCUGGAGCUCAAGUCUUAUGAAGAGCAUCUGAGAGAAAUGGAGUCUGGAGAAGAGGAGGCUCAUGGGAGACCUUAUCACUCUCUACAACUCCCUGAAAGGAAGAUGUAGUGAAGUGUGAGUUGGGAUCUUCUCCCGUAUAACAGUAACAGGACAUACUGUAAAGGGCAAAAUAUAGUAUGAAGUCUAAAAGAGUCUUGCCACCUAGAUGCUGCAUGACAAAUAGCUCUUUCUCUAGGGUACUUCUGAAACCUUUGUCCCUAAUCUACCAUGGAUGUAGAGUAAUGAGAAGAAUUAAGUACGGCUAUUUAAUACCAAUUUGUUUUUUACUGCCAAAUUUUUCUGGUGGCUUCUUCCAGCAUUUUGAGCACUCUCUCAGAAUAUCCAUCAGAAUUUCUAAUAGGGAUCUUUGCAUCUUUACAUGAGAGUAUUGAGAACAGGCAGUCCUGAAAUAUGAUGUUAAUGUUUGCUGUUCUACACAGCUAUUUUUAAUAUCACAGAUUCAGGUUUUUUCAAUAUUUGCAACUCAGUUUUUCAUAUCCCCUCUGUGCUCCUUCUGGAAAAUAGAAUGGAAAGUCAGAGAAUUUGAGAAAGCACUCAAAACUAUGGGAGUCUGCAGGUGAUCAAAUUGUCACCCUGAAAUAGGAACAAAACCAUGUGACGGUUGCAUUGUAAAAAGGUUAAGGAAAACCCUUGCUUAUUACAGUCAAUUCUUGUCUUUUCAGAUAACAAACCUAUUAAAGAAUUUCUAGGUAGGCUAACUGCCUUUUCUGGUAUUUUAGAAAAUGGAAGAAAACAGAAGGUAAGGCAUAUGUUGUGUUAAGAGAAAUUCAGAGAUUGAAGGUGUGAUGCCACUUAGGCACUGACAGCUGCAGUGGUCAUAACUUAAAAUGUCUUUGCAUAUACUAAAAUCAUAAAAUCAAAAUUCCACUGUGGUAUGGAACAGCACUGCUCGAAAAUCAGACAGUGUUUUGAAAGAUUUCUUGGCUGUUUUACAAAUUCUCUCUCUCAUCUCUGACUGCUACAGAUCAUAAAGCUAUGUUUCUACAUAUUAUGUCUAUUUAACAUAUUUACGGUACGUGUCAUUUUGAAUGCUGUCCACAGUGUUGUCCUGGCAUUACCCAGAACAAAAAAUGUAAGACAUGUAAAAACACAAAGACGCCCACCUGAUUUAACAGGUGUGACGAUUUACAUUCAGUUCAGUCUCAGUACCUUUUUUUUUCUUCCCACAGACCAUUAUGGGUUUGUAUCCAGAGAUGAAAUCAAUGUGCUGAAUUCUUUGCUUCAGUAGCCAUUAGAGUUUAUCUGUGCUUAACCCUGCCAUUAAAUAGUGCUGCUUAAAUUCAUUGUUCUUUAUCAGAACGGUAAAAUAACUGCUUACAAAUCUUCUGCUUGGACUUGCAGUUUGGCUGAGUGGUAGGCUGAUGGGUUUCCUGGGUAAUGUUUUGAACCUCGCUACAUUCAUGAGAUCUGAAUUUGCUGGCUACUGCAUGCAUCUGCUCCACUGAUGUUUCUAUCCUGAUCCUCCAUACUGUUCUUCAACAGCUUUCUGGAUGAUCUUUUCAAUUAGAGCACCGCCUUGAGAUUUUAUUUUCCCAAAGAAGAAUUAUGUAACGUUUGUACUGAGUCAUAUUUGCCAUCUGCUGAUCCAACCACAUAAAUAAUCCAAAUUCUUUAAAAACUGC